CGUGAAGAAGCGGGGAUAUUUAUAUAAGACGAGAAGACCCUAUGGAGCUUUAAACAAUUAUAGCACUGGCCCACACUUCUUAUUCUCCUGAGACAUAACUAUUAUAUAGACCAACAUGACUAUUAGUUUUAGGUUGGGGUGACCACGGAGCAAAAAAUAACCUCCAUGUUGAACGGAGCUACUCCUGAGCUAAAAGCUACAACUUUAAGCACCAAUAAACUGACAUCAAUUGACCCAACAUGUUGACCAACGAACCAAGUUACCCUAGGGAUAACAGCGCAAUCCAUUUCAAGAGCUCCUAUCGACAAAUGGGUUUACGACCUCGAUGUGGGAUCAG
This 337-nucleotide ribosomal RNA is filed under the name Dendropsophus anataliasiasi (Goias treefrog). Its description in RNAcentral is "partial 16S ribosomal RNA". It matches the Rfam family "Bacterial large subunit ribosomal RNA", at positions 2052 to 2540 of the family's 2925-position model. Lineage: Eukaryota; Metazoa; Chordata; Amphibia; Anura; Hylidae. The record is from RNAcentral.